Non-coding RNA from Xyrichtys novacula (pearly razorfish), 1847 nucleotides. The record is from the annotation of a GenBank genome assembly. NCBI's taxonomy places the organism in Eukaryota, Metazoa, Chordata, Actinopteri, Labriformes, Labridae.
GUGCUAAAAAAAACUCAGAUUACUUUUGAGAGUGUCUAAAUAAAAUGUGUAAAAGUAGCUGUGAGUGGUACAGGGGGCAGCUGAGGAGGAAAAGAAAGACAGGAAAUGUGGAAUAAAGAGAGAAAAAAAAGACAGACUGUGGUCCUUUUCCCAGACUGAUUAACUAAUGACCAUCAUUUUGUGCGUUGAUAUGCUUUAGUUUCAUCAGCCUCUUCAGGGCUUAUGCUAAUGCGUGUCAUUUAUACCCACGCAGCUUCUAGUUCAUGAUUAGACAUAUAAACAUUCUGGCAACCUUUGACCUCUCUGUCCCCCAGACGGUUGAUUGGCAGGCGGUUCACUGUGUUUUUUCUUCCACAGACGCUGAUACGGGACUGUGCAUGAGGGAAUUUCUUGAAAAUGUGCAUGCACGAGUGUUUUUUGGAGCAUGUCUGUGCUUGCAAAUUAGAAAGCAAAAAAAGUGUGUUUUUCUGGGCCCCUGUCAGCUCUGUUCCUGCAAGAGCCAGUGCAGAUUGUAGCUCAGACAUGACAGUAUUUGUGUACACAGAACAAGACGGCGGAGAUGUUGGAGGAAGCAAAGGCAAGAUUGUUGUUACAAUGUGUCUUAAACUGUCAAUUCAAAAUGCCGUUUGACAACCAACCCCUCUGUUUCAAGCUUAUUUUUACAGCAUGUGAAUGUAAGCUCAUCUGUUCCAGUCUUUAGGAUUCAAAGGUAUUCUUUGGAGCUCUAAAACUGGACGGGACUUUUAUACUUCAAACUGCACACUCUUUCAAAACAGAGGUUCAAAAGCUCACUGCAUCACAGAAGUCAUUCAGAAAUGCGCAAGUCUCUGCAACUCAAACAAGCAGCAAGACAGUCAGUGCGUUUACACGCACAGCUUAAUCAAGCUAAGCUCAUAAUUUGUUUUUUUCCCCGAAUCGGACUUCUCUCCUUGUCCGCGUAUACAUGCAGAUGAGAAAAUCGAAUUAUUGACGUGAAUGUGUCCUCCUCCCCAAAACUAGAGGCCGAUAUCGGUCUUUUCAGCUGUGCUGUUUCCGACCCCAUACAAUUGUCAACAACAACAGCAGGUCCGUGCCAGACGCCAGAAGUGGCUACAACUGCUGCUGGGCGUUUUUCAUGUAAGAAGAUGGAGCACUGUACAGCGUUGUUUUUGUCGUACAUGAUGUACUUUUUCUGCAGAUGAGAUGCAAGCUACUGCUCUUCUUUGGUGUUUUUGUUCCAGGGUUAUGGGGGCGGUGUACAUGCACACAUGCAUUGUCCAAUCAUACUCCAACUACGCUGGUUACAUGGUAGAGAAAAUCAAAUGCCAAUCAGAGUUCUCAAACUAAGGUCAGACUAAGCAGGUGGUCUUAAUCGGAGUAAGGCAAUAAUUCAGUUUUCUCAAGUGUCAUGUAAACAUACUGAGUGUUGCAAAACUGAGCCAUUGUGUAGGUGCAAAAAACUGCAGUUCCUAAAGUGUCCACUUGAGGCUGUCUCAAAAAGCUGAAGGAAGCCUAUUAAAAACAUUCUUUCUAAGUAGAGUGUAUUUGCCGAUAAAUGGUUGUUGAAAUGUGUGAAAAGUAUGUACCAUGGAAGAACUGAAUUUUAAAAAUUAUUCAUUAAACCGAUUUGUGAUGUUUUUAUCUGCAGGAUUUCUUGGGUGGGGUUGGAAGGGAUACCUCAUGAUGCCUCCUUAACAUAACGCCACCCCUUCAGAGUAUAACAGUAUAAAAAGUGGUGCUAACAUGAGCAUUGAUGCUCAGCCUGCUCAGUCUCGACCUCCACUACAGCUGGUGUAUCUUUGCUCAAGUGUACAGUGUGCUAUCCAUAGACUGUAUGUACUAUGGACAACUUGGUUCCGCCUUCUGCC